This 465-nucleotide ribosomal RNA is filed under the name uncultured bacterium. RNAcentral's name for it is "bacterial SSU rRNA". It matches the Rfam family "Bacterial small subunit ribosomal RNA", at positions 917 to 1382 of the family's 1533-position model. The record is from RNAcentral.
GGGCCCGCACAAGCGGAGGAACAUGUGGUUUAAUUCGAUGAUACGCGAGGAACCUUACCCGGGCUUGAACUGCAGGAGACUUUUCCGGAAACGGAUUUUCCCUUCGGGGCUCCUGUGGAGGUGCUGCAUGGUUGUCGUCAGCUCGUGCCGUGAGGUGUCGGCUUAAGUGCCAUAACGAGCGCAACCCUUGCUGUCAGUUACUAACAGGUAAUGCUGAGGACUCUGGCGGGACUGCCAUCGCAAGAUGUGAGGAAGGUGGGGAUGACGUCAAAUCAGCACGGCCCUUACGUCCGGGGCUACACACGUGUUACAAUGGGAGGUACAGAAGGCAGCUACCCGGCGACGGGAUGCCAAUCCCCAAAACCUCUCUCAGUUCGGACUGGAGUCUGCAACCCGACUCCACGAAGCUGGAUUCGCUAGUAAUCGCGCAUCAGCCAUGGCGCGGUGAAUACGUUCCCGGGCCUU